UGCAUUCACUACUGUAAGUCGCUCUGGAUAAGAGUGUCUGCUGAAUGACUGAAA
Non-coding RNA from Salmo salar (Atlantic salmon), 54 nucleotides. The record is from Rfam. NCBI's taxonomy places the organism in Eukaryota, Metazoa, Chordata, Actinopteri, Salmoniformes, Salmonidae.